This 90-nucleotide transfer RNA is filed under the name Thermochaetoides thermophila DSM 1495. RNAcentral's name for it is "Chaetomium thermophilum var. thermophilum DSM 1495 tRNA". It matches the Rfam family "tRNA". From Rfam's summary of the family: Transfer RNA (tRNA) molecules are approximately 80 nucleotides in length. Their secondary structure includes four short double-helical elements and three loops (D, anti-codon, and T loops). The record is from Rfam by way of RNAcentral. Lineage: Eukaryota; Fungi; Ascomycota; Sordariomycetes; Sordariales; Chaetomiaceae.
GCCCGGCUGGCGCAAUGGUAGCGCGUAAGACUUCUAUUCUACUUUCUCCAGAGUAUCUUAAGGUUGUGGGUUCGACCCCCACGUCGGGUG